This 67-nucleotide transfer RNA is filed under the name Triticum aestivum (bread wheat). It matches the Rfam family "tRNA". Rfam says of the family: Transfer RNA (tRNA) molecules are approximately 80 nucleotides in length. Their secondary structure includes four short double-helical elements and three loops (D, anti-codon, and T loops). Lineage: Eukaryota; Viridiplantae; Streptophyta; Magnoliopsida; Poales; Poaceae. RNAcentral also lists the same sequence under 1 other name. The record is from Rfam by way of RNAcentral.
GGUCUUGUAGCUCAAUUGGUUAGAGCAUCGGUCUUAUAUGCCGCAGGUUCAAGCCCCUCCGGGACCA